This 389-nucleotide ribosomal RNA is filed under the name Picozoa sp. Its description in RNAcentral is "partial small subunit ribosomal RNA". It matches the Rfam family "Eukaryotic small subunit ribosomal RNA", at positions 582 to 975 of the family's 1831-position model. The record is from RNAcentral. Lineage: Eukaryota; Picozoa.
AUUCCAGCUCCAAUAGCGUAUAUUAAAGUUGUUGCAGUUAAAAAGCUCGUAGUCGGAUUUUGGCAUCACGCCGAACUGUCUGCCGAUUGGUAAGUACGGUUUGGCGGGUGCUUCCUUCCGGAGGCUCGUUCCCUUCUUCAUUGAAGGGUUCGUUGGUUCCGGGUCUUUUACUUUGAGAAAAUUAGAGUGUUCAAAGCAGGCCUAUGCUCUGAAUAGGUUAGCAUGGAAUAAUAGAAUAGGACUUUGGUUCUAUUUUGUUGGUUUCUAGGACCGAAGUAAUGAUUAAUAGGGAUAGUUGGGGGCAUUAGUAUUUAUUAGCUAGAGGUGGAAUUCUCUAAUUUGAUAAAGACUAACUUAUGCGAAAGCAUUUGCCAGGGAUGUUUUCAUCA